UACGUAGGUCCCGAGCGUUGUUCGGAUUUAUUGGGCGUAAAGCGAGCGCAGGUGGUUUAUUAAGUCUGGUGUAAAAGGCAGUGGCUCAACCAUUGUAUGCAUUGGAAACUGGUAGACUUGAGUGCAGGAGAGGAGAGUGGAAUUCCAUGUGUAGCGGUGAAAUGCGUAGAUAUAUGGAGGAACACCGGUGGCGAAAGCGGUUCUCUGGCCUGUAACUGACACUGAGGCUCGAAAGCGUGGGGAGCAAACAGG
RNAcentral lists this ribosomal RNA (252 nucleotides) under uncultured bacterium. RNAcentral describes it as "partial 16S ribosomal RNA". It matches the Rfam family "Bacterial small subunit ribosomal RNA", at positions 524 to 776 of the family's 1533-position model. The record is from RNAcentral.